This 253-nucleotide ribosomal RNA is filed under the name uncultured bacterium. RNAcentral's name for it is "partial 16S ribosomal RNA". It matches the Rfam family "Bacterial small subunit ribosomal RNA", at positions 524 to 776 of the family's 1533-position model. The record is from RNAcentral.
UACAGAGGGUGCGAGCGUUAAUCGGAAUUACUGGGCGUAAAGCGUGUGUAGGUGGUUGUAUAAGUUAGAUGUGAAAUCCCCGGGCUUAACCUGGGAAUUGCGUUUAAGACUGUAUAGCUAGAGUACUGUAGAGGAUAGUGGAAUUUCCAGUGUAGCGGUGAAAUGCGUAGAUAUUGGAAGGAACACCAGUGGCGAAGGCGACUAUCUGGAUAGAUACUGACACUGAGACACGAAAGCGUGGGGAGCAAACAGG